Molecule: long non-coding RNA, 2609 nt
Filed under: Brassica rapa (field mustard)
Lineage: Eukaryota; Viridiplantae; Streptophyta; Magnoliopsida; Brassicales; Brassicaceae
Description: long non-coding RNA (BRAP_LNC004318)
Source: RNAcentral
CGCUCGACCCAUGUUCCCGGCGCGUUCCGCUAGAUCGUAGUUCAAGUCUUUAAUUUGGGAAAGGUUACCGUUCUCAACCAUUAGCGCUAAUCAUAAGAAGGAGAGAUUCACCUUGUUGCUCGGAUGACGGGUCUUCCCGUGCCACUUUUGGAGUAGCUGGUUCCUGAUGAUCUCAUCCAAACUUAUUAUCAUCAUCGUUUUUGAAGUACAAGCGAAUAAGAGAUGGAUGCACCAAAAACACUUACCAAUUGAUUCCCGGGACCAAGCCCUGCCUCAGUCACCACGAGCAAGAAAACGGGUUGGUUUCACCACCACAUACUGUCAAUAGUCUCAAACACCUGCAAAGAUUAGUCAAAAUGCAUCACCACACAGUCUCAAGAGAAACUUAUGAUGUCCUGGGAGGUGAGCAAACACCAAUUGGGAACAUCGAAACGGUCAAUGACAACCCGAGAACCGCCUCGCCAAUUGCCACCCUUGAUAACCAAAGGCCGGUUACUUUGCUGAGUAGACCCAACUCCAGUGUCGACAUAGGUAGAUACAUUCAGUUUAAACCAGAGGCCCGACUCCAUAAUCUAAAGCCGUCACCUUCACUUGGGAGAAAUAGACAGCACGCCGUGUAGAGGAGGAAUGAAGGGAUGAGGCUGAACCAGUAGCUACGAAGAGACCCAUAGACGACCCCUUGUUCAGCUACCAAUUUGACCCACACACGCCUAAACUAAACCAAGUUCCAACUCCUUAUGUGAGUUGCGGUUCAAGACAUGUCUGUAAGGAAAAUGACACUCCAGAGCUCGCGUGACUACGGGAAGGAGGAGUUAGGCCUCACCGACACCGGAAAAGACCAACGACCAACCCCUGUUAUCGAUUGCAACCACCAGACGAGAACGGCAUGAGAAAACCGCUUAGUCGAAGGAUGACACAACCCACAUCUCCCUGUAAACGGCAAUGAAACUAGAACAGGUCUCGAGAGUAAAAACCGAUAUGUUCUACAAAUCCUAAGAGCCGACUACCGUCACGACCACCGCUUCAAAACCUCACCGCGAAGUCAGACAUAACAGAGACACAUCCGAUUCGAAACUACUCGCGAGCAGAGUACUUGCCGAAGAGAAACCCUUGCCCAGAUCACACGAGAAUAUCAGAAAAGAGCAGAGAUCGAUAGAGUAGAAACCGGUGAACAUGAAUAAAGAAGAAGGAAAUCCUCCGGCGAUGCACGCACUCUCACGCGUCGCCGGUGAAAAGCUUUGAAGAUUGUGUAACAUCCCGAGUUGUUAUAUAUGGAAAAUGAUUAAUAGGAUUGAUUUGGCUACCUAUGUCACUAAAGUUGGCUUACUUAUUCCGUUACACAUCUGUUUAGAACUCCAUAGUUAAGUGUGCUUGGGCUGGAGUAGUGAAAGGAUGGGUAUCUAUUCGUAAGUGAUUCGCGAUACCGUGCGAGUGAGGCCUAAGCACGGGGAAAGGUCGGGUGGUGAUUGCAGGGUCAGUAAACAAUUAUUUCAAACCUUUGGAAAAUUUACGCACCGGCUGUUGGAACGAGAUGAUCCCACGGGCCGAAAAAGCUGGCGUGUAUGACCUAUUAGCCAUAGACGGUUGGAGCGUUAUAGAGUGGUUGGUCAAAAGGAGAGAGGUGAUAGCGAUAAAAAGUAGAGAGAGAAAGAUCGAGUCAUAAUCUCAAAUGUUCUUAAUGAGGCAAAAAGUAUUCUGGCAUACUCUUAUGAAUUCUGGCGUACUCUUGUCUAUUCUGAUACUCUUCAAAUCGAUGGGCAAAGUCGAAAGUGCCCCUCUCUAUAUGACCAAUUAAAAGAAAGCGCAUUUUCUCUCUCUCUUUCUUCUGUACAGGUGGAUUUCUUAUUCGGAUUUAUUGUUUCUCUCUCCUCCAAUACGGGUUUGGCGCUUCACGAGAGGAGCUCUCAUGUCCUGAAACCGAAAUCAACGAUUCUUCAAUCCUAAAGGAUACUGCAGGCUGCUCGCUUGGAUGCUGAAUUAUUGAGCAAAGGAUCCCCAACCCAUGUCAAAUCAACUUCAGGUAAAGCAUUAUAUUGGUAUGUAUCUUAUAACCCCAUCAAAGUGGAAUGAAAUGCUCGUUCGGUUAAUUAGACAGUAGAUUUCAUAUUAUAUUUGGGUUGUCAAUUAGGGGAGAAUGGGAAAGUGUGGGUGUCGGGUGGUGUGUGGAAUUGGAUAAUCAACAAGAAAAUUCGGGAAUCAAAGAUGAAUUUCCCGAAUGAAUAGUGUGAAACUGGCAGACUAGAAAAGUGUAAGUAGGUGAAACUUUACUCCCUGACAAAAAUGUGUAACAAGAUAUAACUUAUUAUAACUUCAAUAGCAAAAUUGUAUUACUAGGAUUAACUUUAAGAGUUUAAUUUUUUUUUGUACAACAUAUAAUGGGUUAUUCUUCUACAAACAUACACUUUGACUAUGAUGGACAUUAUAAGAAAUCUGGAGAUGAUUUUGAAUGGAUUCCAAGCGAUGGUCGUUUGUAUGCUAUAUUCUUUAAGACAGCAUCAUUGGAUGAGAUCACUUAUUCGUUUUUGAAGGAGAGGAUAUGUAAGAAGAAGACCAUGGAUCCAUGUAUAAAGAGGCUGAUUCUGAGUUACAUUCCACUAGUAGUAGAACCU